RNAcentral lists this ribosomal RNA (218 nucleotides) under uncultured bacterium. RNAcentral's name for it is "partial 16S ribosomal RNA". It matches the Rfam family "Bacterial small subunit ribosomal RNA", at positions 136 to 353 of the family's 1533-position model. The record is from RNAcentral.
CUCGGGGAUAGCCUUUCGAAAGAAAGAUUAAUACCCGAUAGCAUAAUGAUUCCGCAUGGUUUCAUUAUUAAAGGAUUCCGGUAAAGGAUGGGGAUGCGUUCCAUUAGGUUGUUGGUGAGGUAACGGCUCACCAAGCCUUCGAUGGAUAGGGGUUCUGAGAGGAAGGUCCCCCACAUUGGAACUGAGACACGGUCCAAACUCCUACGGGAGGCAGCAUG